AGAGCCUACCGAAUCCUGAUGAACUCCGAAUGCCAAUGGCUAUACACGGCAGUGAGGCCUGGGGUGCUAAGGUCCCCGGCCGAGAGGGAAAGAACCCAGACCAACAGCUAAGGUCCCUAAAUCUAGAUUAAGUUGAACAAAGGAGGUCCACUUGCUUUGACAGCCAGGAGGUUGGCUUGGAAGCAGCCAUUCAUUUAAAGAGUGCGUAACAGCUCACUGGUCGAGCGAGCGGGCGUCGAUAAUACGCGGGCAUCAAAUCUAGUACCGAAGCUUUGGAUUUAGUCUGCAAGAUGACUAAGUGGUAGGGGAGCAUUCUCCUUGCGGUGAAGGCGUGUCGUCAGGCAUGUUGGAGCGUGGAGAAAAGCAUAUGUAGGCAUGAGUAACGAUAAUGGGGGUGCGAAACCCCCACGCCGAUAGACUAAGGUUUCCAAUUCAACGCUAAUCGGAAUUGGGUUAGUCGGGACCUAAGGGGAAGCCGAAAGGUGCACUCGAUGGACAGCAGGUUAAUAUUCCUGUACUAAUGGUAGCAAGUGAUGCAGUGACGCAGAAGUGAAAGCACCGCGGGCGGACGGAAGUGCCCGUUGAAGGCCGUAGGUAUUGGGAGAGUAGUUAAGUACGCUCACCUAGCCGAAAGCUGAUAGUACCGUACGUCCUUCGGGACACGCGGAUAGUGUGCCUAAUCCGACUGCCAAGAAAACCUGCUAAGCGUUUUAAUGCUAUUAUUACCCGUACCGCAAACCGACACAGGUAGUCAAGGAGAGUAUCCUGAGGCGCUCGAGUGAAUCACGGCCAAGGAACUCGGCAAAAUGGACCUGUAACUUCGGGAGAAGGGUCGCUUCCUCGUUGCAAGACGAGAAGCCGCAGUGAAAAGGCCCAGGCGACUGUUUAACAAAAACACAUGACUUUGCUAACGCGCAAGCGGACGUAUAAGGUCUGACACCUGCCCGGUGCCGGAAGGUUAAGAGGGGAACUUAGUCGCAAGGCGAAGGUUUGAAUCGAAGCCCCGGUAAACGGCGGCCGUAACUAUAACGGUCCUAAGGUAGCGAAAUUCCUUGUCGGGUAAGUUCCGACCUGCACGAAUGGUGUAACGAUCUGGGCGCUGUCUCAGCCGUGAGCUCGGUGAAAUUGUAGUCUCGGUGAAGAUGCCGAGUACCCGCCACGGGACGGAAAGACCCCGUGCACCUUUACUAUAGGUUGCCAUUGGUGUUGGGUUCGGCAUGUGUAGCAUAGGCGGGAGGCGCUGAGCCGGGGACGCUAGUUCUCGGGGAGCCAACGUUGAAAUACCGCCCUUGCCGUGCCUGAUGCCUAAUCCCGGAUUCCGGGAGACAGUGGCUGCUGGGUAGUUUGACUGGGGUGGUCGCCUCCAAAAGAGUAUCGGAGGCUUUCAAAGGUCCACUCAGUACGCUUGGUAACCGUACGCAGAGCGCAAUAGCAGAAGUGGGCUUGACUGUGAGGCCGACUAGCCGAGCAGGGUCGAAAGACGGAUAUAGUGAUCCGGUGGUUCCGCAUGGAAGGGCCAUCGCUCAAAGGAUAAAAGGUACGCCGGGGAUAACAGGCUGAUCUCCCCCAAGAGCUCAUAUCGACGGGGAGGUUUGGCACCUCGAUGUCGGCUCGUCACGUCCUGGGGCUGGAGAAGGUCCCAAGGGUUCGGCUGUUCGCCGAUUAAAGUGGCACGCGAGCUGGGUUCAGAACGUCGUGAGACAGUUCGGUCCCUAUCUGUGGUGGGCGUUGGAAAUUUGACAGGACCUGUCCUUAGUACGAGAGGACCGGGAUGGACCAGCCGCUGGUGCGCCGGUUGUACCGCCAGGUGCAGCGCCGGGUAGCUACGCUGGGACGAGAUAAGCGCUGAAAGCAUCUAAGUGCGAAACUCACCUGGAGAUGAGAUUUCCCAAUUGAAGGCCCGUCGGAGAUGACGACGUUGAUAGGCGGUAGGUGAACAACUGGAAACAGAAUAGCUGAGCCGUACUAAGUGGCCGAGGGCUUCUUUU
Molecule: ribosomal RNA, 1988 nt
Filed under: marine metagenome
Description: bacterial LSU rRNA
Rfam family: Bacterial large subunit ribosomal RNA
Source: RNAcentral